Molecule: non-coding RNA, 166 nt
Filed under: uncultured Phocaeicola sp.
Lineage: Bacteria; Pseudomonadati; Bacteroidota; Bacteroidia; Bacteroidales; Bacteroidaceae
Source: RNAcentral
CACCGCGAGGUGAAAUCUGAAGGAAGCCGUCGGCAAAUAUCUGACCUGACGAACAGAAACUUCAUACAAGGCAUUCAACCGUGGAUAAGAUUACAUCACAAAUCAAAGUCCCAUAGCUAUUCAGAACGGUUGUGUGUAAAUGAAGCAGGUAUAAGGUUGAAAGACA